GGGGGGGGGGGGGGGGGGGGGGGGGGGGGGGAGGGGGGGGGGGGGGGCGGGGCGUGGGCCGGGGGCUCGGGGGCGAGCGGGUGGGGGGCACGUGAGCACCCUGCCCCGGACGCGGGGGUAAGCGCUGGGCACGGCGGCGGAUACCGGGUAUGUGACGUGACCGCCUGGUCCGCGGUUGGAAAGAUUCUUCGGUUGGGGAUGGGCUCGCGGCCUAUCAGCUUGUUGGUGCGGUAAUGGCUCACCAAGGCGUCGACGGGUAGCCGGCCUGAGAGGGUGACCGGCCACACUGGGACUGAGACACGGCCCAGACUCCUACGGGAGGCAGCAGUGGGGAAUAUUGCACAAUGGGCGCAAGCCUGAUGCAGCAACGCCGCGUGCGGGAUGACGGCCUUCGGGUUGUAAACCUCUUUUAGCAGGGAAGAAGCGAGAGUGACGGUACCUGGAGAAAAAGCGCCGGCUAACUACGUG
Molecule: ribosomal RNA, 468 nt
Filed under: uncultured bacterium
Lineage: Bacteria
Description: partial 16S ribosomal RNA
Rfam family: Bacterial small subunit ribosomal RNA
Source: RNAcentral